UACAGAGGGGGCAAGCGUUGUUCGGAAUUACUGGGCGUAAAGGGCGCGUAGGCGGCCCGCUAAGUCGAACGUGAAAUCCCCGGGCUCAACCCGGGAACUGCGUCCGAUACUGGCGGGCUUGAAUCCGGGAGAGGGAUGCGGAAUUCCAGGUGUAGCGGUGAAAUGCGUAGAUAUCUGGAGGAACACCGGUGGCGAAGGCGGCAUCCUGGACCGGUAUUGACGCUGAGGCGCGAAAGCCAGGGGAGCAAACGGG
RNAcentral lists this ribosomal RNA (253 nucleotides) under uncultured bacterium. RNAcentral describes it as "partial 16S ribosomal RNA". It matches the Rfam family "Bacterial small subunit ribosomal RNA", at positions 524 to 776 of the family's 1533-position model. The record is from RNAcentral.